CCUACGGGGGACUGCAGUCGAGAAUCAUUCACAAUGGGGGAAACCCUGAUGGUGCGACACCGCGUGGGGGAAUGAAGGUCUUCGGAUUGUAAACCCCUGUCAUGUGGGAGCAAAUUAAAAAGAUAGUACCACAAGAGGAAGAGACGGCUAACUCUGUGCCAGCAGCCGCGGUAAUACAGAGGUCUCGAGCGUUGUUCGGAAUCACUGGGCGUAAAGCGUGCGUAGGCUGUUUCGUAAGUCGUGUGUGAAAGGCGCGGGCUCAACCCGCGGACGGCACAUGAUACUGCGAGACUAGAGUAAGGGAGGGGGAAGCGGAAUUCUCGGUGUAGCAGUGAAAUGCGUAGAUAUCGAGAGGAACACUCGUGGCGAAGGCGGGUUCCUGGACAUUAACUGACGCUGAGGCACGAAGGCCAGGGGAGCGAAAGGGAUUAGAUACCCUUGUAGUC
This 446-nucleotide ribosomal RNA is filed under the name uncultured bacterium. RNAcentral's name for it is "partial 16S ribosomal RNA". It matches the Rfam family "Bacterial small subunit ribosomal RNA", at positions 338 to 795 of the family's 1533-position model. The record is from RNAcentral.